This 950-nucleotide ribosomal RNA is filed under the name uncultured Bacillota bacterium. RNAcentral's name for it is "bacterial SSU rRNA". It matches the Rfam family "Bacterial small subunit ribosomal RNA", at positions 1 to 917 of the family's 1533-position model. Lineage: Bacteria; Bacillati; Bacillota. The record is from RNAcentral.
UGGAUCCAGACUUUGAUUAUGGCUCAGGAUGAACGCUGGCGGCGUGCCUAAUACAUGCAAGUCGAACGAAACUUCUUUAUCACCGAGUGCUUGCACUCACCGAUAAAGAGUUGAGUGGCGAACGGGUGAGUAACACGUGGGCAACCUGCCCAAAAGAGGGGGAUAACACUUGGAAACAGGUGCUAAUACCGCAUAACCAUAGUUACCGCAUGGUAACUAUGUAAAAGGUGGCUAUGCUACCGCUUUUGGAUGGGCCCGCGGCGCAUUAGCUAGUUGGUGGGGUAAAGGCUUACCAAGGCAAUGAUGCGUAGCCGAACUGAGAGGUUGAUCGGCCACAUUGGGACUGAGACACGGCCCAAACUCCUACGGGAGGCAGCAGUAGGGAAUCUUCCACAAUGGGCGAAAGCCUGAUGGAGCAACGCCGCGUGGGUGAAGAAGGUCUUCGGAUCGUAAAACCCUGUUGUUAGAGAAGAAAGUGCGUGAGAGUAACUGUUCACGUUUCGACGGUAUCUAACCAGAAAGCCACGGCUAACUACGUGCCAGCAGCCGCGGUAACACGUAGGUGGCAAGCGUUAUCCGGAUUUAUUGGGCGUAAAGGGAACGCAGGCGGUCUUUUAAGUCUGAUGUGAAAGCCUUCGGCUUAACCGGAGUAGUGCAUUGGAAACUGGGAGACUUGAGUGCAGAAGAGGAGAGUGGAACUCCAUGUGUAGCGGUGAAAUGCGUAGAUAUAUGGAAGAACACCAGUGGCGAAAGCGGCUCUCUGGUCUGUAACUGACGCUGAGGUUCGAAAGCGUGGGUAGCAAACAGGAUUAGAUACCCUGGUAGUCCACGCCGUAAACGAUGAAUGCUAAGUGUUGGAGGGUUUCCGCCCUUCAGUGCUGCAGCUAACGCAAUAAGCAUUCCGCCUGGGGAGUACGACCGCAAGGUUGCAACUCAAAUGAAUUGACGGA